This 257-nucleotide ribosomal RNA is filed under the name Shigella boydii. RNAcentral describes it as "partial 16S ribosomal RNA". It matches the Rfam family "Bacterial small subunit ribosomal RNA", at positions 1 to 254 of the family's 1533-position model. The record is from RNAcentral. Lineage: Bacteria; Pseudomonadati; Pseudomonadota; Gammaproteobacteria; Enterobacterales; Enterobacteriaceae.
AAAUUGAAGAGUUUGAUCAUGGCUCAGAUUGAACGCUGGCGGCAGGCCUAACACAUGCAAGUCGAACGGUAACAGGAAUCAGCUUGCUGAUUCGCUGACGAGUGGCGGACGGGUGAGUAAUGUCUGGGAAACUGCCUGAUGGAGGGGGAUAACUACUGGAAACGGUAGCUAAUACCGCAUAAUGUCGCAAGACCAAAAAGGGGGACCUUCGGGCCUCUUGCCAUCAGAUGUGCCCAGAUGGGAUUAGCUUGUUGGUG